UGAGGAAAAUUGUGUGAACUUUAUAAGAAAAUUCUAUGAACUAGGUCGUUUGGUUACCUUAUAUCCAUUCGGUUAUGGAAGUUCUUGCAUAUCUAUACCUUAUAAUAAAACAAAACAAACUUAUGCCAUUUGUCCUAUUCUUAAAAUCCUUAUUGCCACGUGGCAAUUGAUUGUUUCCCCAAUUUUUCGUUUGAGCGGCAAUUAUACUUCCUCCUCCUUGGCUCUUUUUGAAACCGCCUGAAUUUCUUCAAUUUGGAAACCUCAUAACUUCUCUCAAUCAAUUGAAAUCAUUCUCCAAUUUAGCAUCUUUUCUUCAGUAAAAUCAUUUUUCAGUUUGGCAAAUUGAUUUCUCUUCGUUUACCAAUUUCGAAUUGAAAACCUCUACCCAUCAAUCAAGUCUCUAUUCCAAUAGAACCCUGGAUUUCUGAGGACUUCACAAUAGCUAGCUGUUGAAUUCUAAAGGAAGACGAAGAUGGCUACAAUAAAUAUAGGUUUAGAUCUUUGCUCUGGUGGCUAUCUAGGGUUUCAGUGGCGGCCGAUGACUAGGUAUGUGAUGGCUUAGCUCAAUAGGUCGGCUUGGAAUGGGGAAUCUUACAGUAAGUUUCAAAGUGGGUUGGAGAAACCAGUCUGGAGGUUAAACGAGGAUCAUAUCGCAGAUGAUUAAAGGAUAAGCUUAUUACCUACAUUGUCUGCAAUUCCUCUACGUCGUUCAUCGCUCAUGACGUACAUUGUCUGCAGUUCCUUUACGCCGUUCUUCGUUAUGUAGUGGAUUGGGAUUCCUUUUUUUGCAACUGGAUUGAUUGCUACUCUGAUUGACAACACUUCUAAGAUACCAUUUCUUCUUAAUCUGAAUUUCAAAGAAUGGUUGGAACUGAGGAUUCUUGCCGAGGCUACACGUCCUCUACUUUAGUGGCGACGUGGACAGCAGCAUCAGCAGUCGAUAUAAAACAAGCUACAUUUUACAACAGCGAUCGUUAUGUAAACGUCCAGGAUGAGCGUUUAAACCGUUUGAUGAAAUAGGCUGAUCCAUUCAAAGUGUCAAUCGAUCAUGGAACUAUUUUCAUGAUUGUUACCCAAGAUCUCGGAUUCUGCAGAUUUGUUGGUGUUAAACAGCUUGAAUAUUGCAUACAACUAAUGCAAGCGUUUGCUACCAUGUUCACGUACCAAGGUUUAAAUUUGUUGCUGAUUAGUGAUUCAAAAGUUGGUAAAAGUUCUAUUCUUUUGAGUAAACUACCAUUGAAGUUCUUUAUCCUACAAUUGGUUAGAAGUUCAAGCUUACAGUAUGGGAUCCGGUAACCAUUUUCUUUGCUCUGAUUUUAAUUAAUUAGUUUAUCUUUUUUUAAUUAGAUUACAGGUAUGAUUUUCAUCGGAUUGGGACACCGGUUAAUGAUCUGAUGAUGUGGAAUGAUGCAGCAAAAUCAACACUUUGGUUCGGGUUAGGGUCAUUUUGUUUCCUACCAUUAUGUUUUACAACUGAAUAGCUUCAGCCGACCUGUUCAGAUUAUGAAGAGGGAGAACAAAGGAGGUGGUGUUGGUUGUAGCCAAGAUAAUGAUGGUGGUGCACGGGGUGGACGAUGGUGGUGGUUUAUGAUUGAUCCGGUUGCAGCAGGUUACGAAGCUGGUGUCUUAGGGUCUCGAUGAUGUCGGUUGUGGUAAUCAUGUUACUUAAUAUUAAGCGGUCAAGAUGUUGAAAGAGGUUCUUUCAGUCACAUGAAUUCUGUUGUGCAUGAUCAAGAAACAGGGGAGCGUUACUGUCCGUUGGAUCAUGUAAUGAUGAAUCAACACAAACAAACCGUAAGCAACAGGUCAAUGCAUUUUUGUAUAAACAUCUAUACAUGAUUUCUUAUAUUUUUUUCUUUACAUCUUUAUUGAUGCUUAUAUGAUAAUAUAAAGUUCUUUUUCGAAGUUUGGUCUGUUGUGCUUUGACUUGGGCUAUUCAAUGGAAAAACGUAAUUAACUGGUAUUGUGGCAAGCUCAGUUUGGUAACUUUUUUUCCAAUGGGCCCAAGUUAUAUUUGAUCAAUUCUUGAGUAGUGACGAGGCUAAGUGGCUGCUAGACUGGGUUAGUUGUGUUGCCAUUCAUGGUUAAGAUGGUCAAGGGCUCGAACACUCCAGUGCAAGACUUGAGCGUUUUCUUCAGCUGCAUUUGGAGUUCCAUAAGCCGCUUAUCAUUAUGUCUUCUAAAAAUUUGCUUCGUCACAAAGACUACAAGUUGAAUUUAUUUGAGUUUGAUGAUAUUUUCAAGGAUAUCAUCCCUAGGUUUUUGGAAAGGGAAGUGAUCACUCUGUUCGGUUAUGGGUUUGUACCGGUUAGGGUCGUGUAUUGUCUGUUUGGGACCUGUUUCAACCCUUAGACGCGAAGCCUUAGUUUGGAAAGGCCUAGAACAAAAGUGAUGAUCUACAUGGGCUUCAAUGCCAGUAGAUAUUAUAUGUUUGUGUUAAGCUACCCGCGAAACUUGCGGGAUCUUAAACUAGUAUUGAACAAACCACUACAACUAUCGAUAAUUCUAAUCAAGCGGAUAUGGUUUAAGG
Helianthus annuus (common sunflower) is the source of this 2530-nucleotide long non-coding RNA. RefSeq lists it as uncharacterized. NCBI's taxonomy places the organism in Eukaryota, Viridiplantae, Streptophyta, Magnoliopsida, Asterales, Asteraceae. The record is from RefSeq and is a predicted model, not a curated record. The transcript is spliced from 12 exons.